AGUCGAGCGAACGGAGAAAGAGCUUGCUCCUUCGACGUUAGCGGCGGACGGGUGAGUAACACGUGGGCAACCUACCUUAUAGUUUGGGAUAACUCCGGGAAACCGGGGCUAAUACCGAAUAAUCUGUUUCACCUCAUGGUGAAACACUGAAAGACGGUUUCGGCUGUCACUUUAGGAUGGGCCCGCGGCGCAUUAGCUAGUUGGUGAGGUAACGGCUCACCAAGGCGACGAUGCGUAGCCGACCUGAGAGGGUGAUCGGCCACACUGGGACUGAGACACGGCCCAGACUCCUACGGGAGGCAGCAGUAGGGAAUCUUCCACAAUGGGCGAAAGCCUGAUGGAGCAACGCCGCGUGAGUGAAGAAGGAUUUCGGUUCGUAAAACUCUGUUGUAAGGGAAGAACAAGUACAGCAGUAACUGGCUGUACCUUGACGGUACCUUAUUAGAAAGCCACCCCUAACUACGUGCCAGCAGCCGCGGUAAUACGUAAGUGGCAAGCGUUGUCCGGAAUUAUUGGGCGUAAAGCGCGCCCAGGUGGUUUCUUAAGUCUGAUGUGAAAGCCCACGGCUCAACCGUGGAGGGUCAUUGGAAACUGGGAGACUUGAGUGCAGAAGAGGAUAGUGGAAUUCCAAGUGUAACGGUGAAAUGCGUAGAGAUUUGGAGGAACACCAGGGGCGAAGGCGACUAUUUGGUCUGUAACUGACACUGAAGCGCGAAA
RNAcentral lists this ribosomal RNA (717 nucleotides) under Lysinibacillus fusiformis. Its description in RNAcentral is "bacterial SSU rRNA". It matches the Rfam family "Bacterial small subunit ribosomal RNA", at positions 60 to 758 of the family's 1533-position model. The record is from RNAcentral. Lineage: Bacteria; Bacillati; Bacillota; Bacilli; Caryophanales; Bacillaceae.